RNAcentral lists this ribosomal RNA (296 nucleotides) under Planctomycetaceae bacterium. Its description in RNAcentral is "partial 16S ribosomal RNA". It matches the Rfam family "Bacterial small subunit ribosomal RNA", at positions 1247 to 1533 of the family's 1533-position model. The record is from RNAcentral. Lineage: Bacteria; Pseudomonadati; Planctomycetota; Planctomycetia; Planctomycetales; Planctomycetaceae.
AUGCGAAACCGCGAGGUCAAGCAAAUCCCAAAAAGCGUCGCUCAGUUCGGAUUGCAGGCUGCAACUCGCCUGCAUGAAGUCGGAAUCGCUAGUAAUCGCGGGUCAGCAUACCGCGGUGAAUGUGUUCCUGAGCCUUGUACACACCGCCCGUCAAGCCACGAAAGUGGGGGGCACCCGAAGUCGCCGAGCUAACCCGCAAGGGAAGCAAGCGCCGAAGGUGACCUUCGCGAUUGGGACUAAGUCGUAACAAGGUAGCCGUAGGGGAACCUGCGGCUGGAUCACCUCCUUUCUAAGGA